RNAcentral lists this long non-coding RNA (801 nucleotides) under Panax ginseng (ginseng). RNAcentral's name for it is "long non-coding RNA (PGIN_LNC008836)". The record is from RNAcentral. Lineage: Eukaryota; Viridiplantae; Streptophyta; Magnoliopsida; Apiales; Araliaceae.
GCAAAAUGGUCAAAACACAAUUUAACAUUUCAAAUUAAAAUAAAACAAACAUUAACCUCAGAAUUAGCAAUCCUACAAAAAUUAGCAACAGAACCACUCGAACUCAGUCCGAUAAUUCGCGAUCAACAGCUUGGGGUUUAAUUUCUCUUAUAAGACACUCAACGUCCAAAUCUGAUCUCUCAGACAAAUUCUGAGCACACAAAAUAUAUAUCACAGAAUCCGAUUCUUGUUCAGGGAUAGCAAACACAAACUGUUUUGUCUGUUUAGGUAUAGAUAAUUUCCUAACUAAUACAUUUGAUACUCUCAAAUCAUCGUACUUAAACGCCGAGAAAGGCCAUACUUUUUGCACAUAACACAAAAUUUUCAUGCCCAUCACAUUAAUUUAUAACAACUUUACUACAUAAAAAAACACAACUUUAACCAGAAUCCGAACAAGGGUUUUCACCAAUCAAGGGCAAAAUUAAAGGGUCGAUGCUACUGGGUUUCUGGUGGGAAAAUUACCCCUCUUACCUUCCAUAAACAAUCAAAUUACAAGAAGCACAAGUUAAAUAUGAGUGUGUAUGUACAUAGGAUAAGAGAGACUGCAAUCGAAUUGGGGAUAGAUAGGCCAAAGUCUUGUCGGAAUUGGAGGAGAUAAUACCGGAGGUUGCCGUAUAAUAGGGAGGAGAUGUUGUGUCGCCAGAGCUCCGGGAGGCGAAAUCGGAGAUGAAUUAGCCCAGCAACGUCUCUGUUUAAUCGCGAAUUAUCGGACUGAGUUCUAGUGGUUCUGUUGCUAAUUUUUGUAGGAUUGCUAAUUCUGAG